RNAcentral lists this ribosomal RNA (158 nucleotides) under Bullera aff. coprosmaensis IMUFRJ 51959. Its description in RNAcentral is "Hannaella aff. coprosmaensis IMUFRJ 51959 5.8S ribosomal RNA". It matches the Rfam family "5.8S ribosomal RNA". From Rfam's summary of the family: 5.8S ribosomal RNA (5.8S rRNA) is a component of the large subunit of the eukaryotic ribosome. It is transcribed by RNA polymerase I as part of the 45S precursor that also contains 18S and 28S rRNA. RNAcentral also lists the same sequence under 4 other names. Lineage: Eukaryota; Fungi; Basidiomycota; Tremellomycetes; Tremellales; Bulleraceae. The record is from RNAcentral.
CAACUUUCAACAACGGAUCUCUUGGCUCUCGCAUCGAUGAAGAACGCAGCGAAAUGCGAUAAGUAAUGUGAAUUGCAGAAUUCAGUGAAUCAUCGAAUCUUUGAACGCACAUUGCGCCUUUUGGUAUUCCGAAAGGCAUGCCUGUUUGAGUGUCAUAU